AGGUCAAGCUACAACGGGCUCACGGUGGAUACCUAGGCACGCAGAGGCGAAGAAGGACGUGGUUACCGACGAUACGCUUCGGGGAGCUGGAAGCAAGCUUUGAUCCGAAGGUUUCCGAAUGGGGCAACCCUAAGUACGGCCAUCUGAAUCCAUAGGAUGGCACGAGCGAACGCAGCGAACUGAAACAUCUUAGUAGCUGUAGGAAGAGAAAGAAAGAUCGAUUUCCGUAGUAGCGGCGAGCGAAGUGGAAAGAGCCUAAACCAGUGGUGUUUACCGCUGGGGUUGUGGGACAGCGAGAUGGUAUCUAGCGACUAGACGAAGCAUUUGAAUGAUGCACCAGAGGAGGUGAAAGUCCUGUAGUCGACAGUUUAAGGAACCUAGCUGCAUCCCGAGUAGCACGGGGCACGAGAAAUCCCGUGUGAAUCCGCGAGGACCACCUCGUAAGGCUAAAUACUCCUGCGUGACCGAUAGUGAACCAGUACCGCGAGGGAACGGUGAAAAGAACCCCGGGAGGGGAGUGAAAGAGAACAUGAAACCGUGAGCCUACAAGCAGUUAGAGCCCGAUUAAACGGGUGAUAGCGUGCCUGUUGAAGAAUGAGCCGGCGACUUACAGGUACUGGCAGGUUAAGACGGAAUUGUCGAAGCCAAAGGGAAACCGAGUCUGAAGAGGGCGAGUUGUCAGUAUUUGUAGACCCGAACCCGGGUGAUCUAACCAUGUCCAGGCUGAAGCUUGGGUGACACCAAGUGGAGGGCCGAACCGACCUCCGUUGAAAAGGAGGCGGAUGAGGUGUGGUUAGGGGUGAAAUGCCAAUCGAACCCGGAGCUAGCUGGUUCUCCUCGAAAUGUGUUGAGGCACAGCGGUCAUGGUUAUAGCUGGGGGGUAAAGCACUGAUUCGGUGCGGGCUGCGAG
This 910-nucleotide ribosomal RNA is filed under the name Candidatus Altarchaeales archaeon. Its description in RNAcentral is "partial 23S ribosomal RNA". It matches the Rfam family "Bacterial large subunit ribosomal RNA", at positions 1 to 931 of the family's 2925-position model. The record is from RNAcentral. Lineage: Archaea; Nanobdellati; Candidatus Altarchaeota; Candidatus Altarchaeia; Candidatus Altarchaeales.